CACUGCAUUGAUAAAUUAGCAAAAUUUUCUAGCGACAAGUGCUAUGCUCUGUUUGCAAUGCUCAUUUAUAUGCAUUGUGCAACAUCCUUGCUUUUAGAAACAGUUUAAGCUGCAUGAUUGAUGUCCCAUAAUUUUAUUGUUCAAUAUAUAGCACAACAGCUAUGUGAGGGGGCUGAUAAAAUCAGUUAUUGUGCAUAAAUAUUUCUCUAAUGUUAUUAUUUUAUAUCAUCUUUUUGAUGAGAUUUUUUUUUAUGAUUCAAAAUGACAAGGUACACUCAAUCUAGAAGUUUACUUGUCACUGGCGCAG
RNAcentral lists this long non-coding RNA (307 nucleotides) under Elaeis guineensis (African oil palm). RNAcentral's name for it is "long non-coding RNA (EGUI_LNC080128)". The record is from RNAcentral. Lineage: Eukaryota; Viridiplantae; Streptophyta; Magnoliopsida; Arecales; Arecaceae.